Molecule: long non-coding RNA, 1351 nt
Organism: Dermochelys coriacea (leatherback sea turtle)
Lineage: Eukaryota; Metazoa; Chordata; Testudines; Dermochelyidae
Exons: 5
Source: RefSeq, a predicted model, not a curated record
GGCUGGCGGCAGGGCAGGCUGGGUCGGCGCGGGAGAGCAGGUGGCGGGCGCGCGGCGGUGCCACGUGCGGCGCAAGCUGCGCCACGGCAGCGACUGGAGCCCGCCAAGGGCCUGCGUGCGCGCGUGGCCGGUGGAAGCUCGCUGCUCUUUCCCCCCUGCGGGAUCGAGGGGUGUGCCUCAAAAAAGCGGGGGGGCGUCCCCAGCCCGCAACUGGACACCUCCUCCUAGCACUCACGGAGAGCGAGCGUGGCUCAGAAUGUUCCCAGGGAGAGGGAGGGUUUUGCAAGAUCCUCUGCGGGCGGUGUGCAAUUUCCUAUUGAAUUAUAAACAAACACGUGGCUUUUAAAAAAUGUUCAGUGGGACUGAGGCGAAAACUGGGACGAAAGCUAUGGGGAAAGCACUGCCCAGCAGGCGCUGGGGCAGAGGCCGCCUGUCAGAAUUCCUCCCUGGAUUGGAUGUCUCCCCCAUGGCUCAUUUAACUCUUUGGAGCUAACACUUUACCCUGGCUAUUUACAGAUAAAUAGGGGUUCUUCCUUCAUCCAUUGCCUUAGUGCCUGUCAGCAUCUCUGCUAAAACCUAGAGAACAUUUUUAUAGACAAGGUGGGCACAAACCAGCACUCGAGAUCUGAACAACCUUUGAGAGAGUGUUUGGAACCAGAAUGCAGUCGGAGACCUGAAUGUCCAAGUUUUGGUGUCAAGUUUUCAUCCAGCAAAACAUUGGAGCUGCAUAAAGACAAAUACUAAUAGUGAUCAAUCCAUUCACACCUGAAUGUAGAGUCUUAUGGACUCCAGGAUAAGAGUCGUAUAUGGAUAUCCCCUGAAGUUAGAAAAUUCACAUCCAGGAUUCCUCUCAACCCUGUCUGUGAUGUGUUGACAUCCCUACUGAGUUCAUUUUCUACUCCACAGUUUCUCUUCCAUGAUAGCAAAAUAAACAAGGGUUGUGUGAAAUUGUGACUGCUCUUCCACAAGAUCAAUCCCUAGGUUUUUCACAAUUCAGUUUUGAUAGUUUUAAUGUUGUGAGAAAUCUUGCACGAUGGGGGAAUUUGCAUUGAACACAGUUGAAAAUGUGAAUUUUGUUGUAGGUACAGACUUAGCUUACAAAAAAGGCUUAGUUUGGAUUGAAAUGUUGCCCAUUUUUGGGAGAAAUUUCACUCCUUUGCCUCAAAAAUGGGUCCUCCUUCACUCAAAAAAUGUCUUAUUUCCAAGUGAAACAUUCUUAAACUUGUUGUGACUUUUGUGAAAGGGCAAUUUUAGAGUUCACAAGGAAAUGUAAGUAAGCUCAGUUGUAGAGUGUUUUCAGUUACAUUGCUAAAGUUUCACACAGCUAUAAAAUAAUCAUUUUAACCAUCUA